GGAAUAUUGGUCAAUGGACGCAAGUCUGAACCAGCCAAGUAGCGUGCAGGAUGACUGCCCUAUGGGUUGUAAACUGCUUUUUUACGGGAUUAAUUCGUUCCACGUGUUGGUUCGUUGCAGGUACCGUAAGAAUAAUGACCGGCUAAUUCCGUGCCAGCAGCCGCGGUAAUACGGAAGGUCAAGGCGUUAUCCGGAUUUAUUGGGUUUAAAGGGAGCGUAGGCGGCCGAUUAAGCGUGUUGUGAAAAGCAGGUGCUCACCAUUUGUCGUGCAGCGCGAACUGGUUGGCUUGAGUGUCAUGAAAGGUGGCGGAAUUCGUGGUGUAGCGGUGAAAUGCUUAGAUAUCACGACGACCUCCGAUUGCGAAGGCAGCUGCCUGCAUGAUUACUGACGCUGAUGCUCGAAGGUGCGGGUAUCGAACA
This 420-nucleotide ribosomal RNA is filed under the name uncultured bacterium. RNAcentral's name for it is "bacterial SSU rRNA". It matches the Rfam family "Bacterial small subunit ribosomal RNA", at positions 358 to 774 of the family's 1533-position model. The record is from RNAcentral.